UAUGAAUAGUUUCAUCUGGAACAUUGAAGAUUGUAAAGACAGACAUAUUACCACAAUUCUUCUCAUCUAACAAAGCUCUCCACUUGACCUUUCUUAUGGGUGGAAACUUUGGUCUAUGCCCCUAUAUUUGGAGCCAGUUCAUAUAAUGAUGAGAAGUUUAUCUGUGAAGAAUUGGGAGGGUAUGAUAUUUAGGAAUGAUUGUUCCACGAUGAGUACAAAGUCAACAAUAGAUCCAUUAUUACCUCCUGGUAUCAAUAGAGACCUCUUAUAUACAGGAAAUGCUACCAAAGAGAACAAGAAACGAUGGAGAAAUAUUGCCAUUUUGAUGAGAGUGAUGUAGUAGAGGAGAGAAGAAGUCAGAGAGACAGUAGGAAUAAAAAUCAGCUUUAAG
Ictidomys tridecemlineatus (thirteen-lined ground squirrel) is the source of this 391-nucleotide non-coding RNA. The record is from RefSeq and is a predicted model, not a curated record. NCBI's taxonomy places the organism in Eukaryota, Metazoa, Chordata, Mammalia, Rodentia, Sciuridae.